RNAcentral lists this ribosomal RNA (520 nucleotides) under uncultured Halomonas sp. RNAcentral's name for it is "bacterial SSU rRNA". It matches the Rfam family "Bacterial small subunit ribosomal RNA", at positions 1 to 526 of the family's 1533-position model. Lineage: Bacteria; Pseudomonadati; Pseudomonadota; Gammaproteobacteria; Oceanospirillales; Halomonadaceae. The record is from RNAcentral.
UAGAGUUUGAUCAUGGCUCAGAUUGAACGCUGGCGGCAUGCCUAACACAUGCAAGUCGCACGCGAAAGGGGGCAACCCUGAGUAGAGUGGCGGACGGGUGAGUAACGCGUAGGAAUCUACCUGGUAGUGGGGGACAACCCGGUGAAAACCGGGCUAAUACCGCAUACGAUCCACGGAUGAAAGCAGGGGACCGCAAGGCCUUGCGCUAUCAGAUGAGCCUGCGUCGGAUUAGCUAGUUGGUGAGGUAACGGCUCACCAAGGCGACGAUCCGUAGCUGGUUUGAGAGAACGACCAGCCACACCGGAACUGAGACACGGUCCGGACUCCUACGGGAGGCAGCAGUGGGGAAUAUUGGAUAAUGGGGSMAMCCYKGAUCCAGCAAUGCCGCGUGUGUGAAGAAGGCCUUCGGGUUGUAAAGCACUUUCGGUGGGGACAAACAAGGCGGAGCUAACAUCUCCGUCCCUGAUGGUACCCAAAGAAGAAGCACCGGCUAACUCUGUGCCAGCCGCCGCGGUAAUUC